UCGACCGCCAAAAUAAAACCCUAUCUCUCUCUUUCUUUCUCUCCCUCCUCUCGCAUUUCACGUGCGAGGAAGCUCCUUCAAUAUCGCUGCGUCUCUCUCUUCGCCCGACAUUGAUAAAAUUCAGCUUAUUACAGUACAAUUGUUUUUAUUAGUGUUUUCUUUUUCGUGUCUUUUUUUUUUUUUUUUUUUUCGUUUUCGAAUUUUCAAAAUCGGAGCAGCUAAUCAAAUUCAGUCUCCAAUCGCCAUGUCUAAGAGGUAAGGAUGAUGAUCUCUUGAUCGUUCAAUUCUCAUUUCCAUUCGAUUGUUUCUUUGAUAUCGUUUUGCUUCUUACGCUUGUAUGCUGUGUUUCAAUUUUCGCCUAUCUGUGGAAAUUGAAGUGUGAUUGGUAAUGGUUUUCGAGCUGGAUAAUGGAAAUUCUGUUUAUCGGGAGGUAUAUUGGAAAUCGUUUGUAUUUUAUCUAGUUUUUAGAUUUGAAGGAUUUGAUUAUAUGUUUUGGUGAUAGGGAAUGCCUGUGUCGGGAUAAUUAUGAUGUGUUUUAUGAAGUUUCUGAUUUUUGCUGAGAAAAUGUAGGGGAAGAAGAGGGAAAUUGGUUUUAAUUGAGGAUUUAAUGGUUAAAAGGAGAAGAAAAUAUGUUUUGGUUCACCUUUGCCGCAAAGGAGCUCUAGUUAAAGACUAAGAGGAAUGAGUUUUUGAUAUUUGAGCAAAUUGCAAUUUAGGUUUUUGAUAUGUGAUUUAUGGGAGGUAAGAAGAAUUAGAAUACUUGUUUGUUUUAAAGUAGGAUAUUGGUCGUAGGACACCCAGGGAAGCAAAGUAUUUCAUUUAACGGGGUGCUUGAGGUUAUAUAUUUUUUAUUUUUUGUUUUAGGGGUUGCAGUUUCC
RNAcentral lists this long non-coding RNA (878 nucleotides) under Carica papaya (papaya). RNAcentral's name for it is "long non-coding RNA (CPAP_LNC004061)". The record is from RNAcentral. Lineage: Eukaryota; Viridiplantae; Streptophyta; Magnoliopsida; Brassicales; Caricaceae.